GUUUGGGUGCUGGUGGUGGUUUACCAGGUAGGACUGGUGUUGUGCCUGGAAUAGUCUAUGGGAAUGGAACUGGGGCCCGAUUAUUAGGUCCAG
This 93-nucleotide long non-coding RNA is filed under the name Sinocyclocheilus anshuiensis. RNAcentral's name for it is "lncRNA (ENSSANG00000035489.1)". The record is from RNAcentral. Lineage: Eukaryota; Metazoa; Chordata; Actinopteri; Cypriniformes; Cyprinidae.